Molecule: ribosomal RNA, 450 nt
Filed under: uncultured Glomus
Lineage: Eukaryota; Fungi; Glomeromycota; Glomeromycetes; Glomerales; Glomeraceae
Description: SSU rRNA
Rfam family: Eukaryotic small subunit ribosomal RNA
Source: RNAcentral
AGCAGCCGCGGUAAUUCCAGCUCCAAUAGCGUAUAUUAAAGUUGUUGCAGUUAAAAAGCUCGUAGUUGAAUUUCGGGAUCAAUAUGUUGGUCGUGCCUUGGUACGUACUAGUUUAUUGGUUUCUUCCUUCUGACGAACCAUGAUGUCAUUAAUUUGGUGUCUUGGGGAAUCAGGACUGUUACUUUGAAAAAAUUAGAGUGUUUAAAGCAGGCUCACGCUUGAAUACAUUAGCAUGGAAUAAUGAAAUAGGACGUUUGAUUCUAUUUUGUUGGUUUCUAGGAUCGACGUAAUGAUUAAUAGGGAUAGUUGGGGGCAUUAGUAUUCAAUUGUCAGAGGUGAAAUUCUUGGAUUUAUUGAAGACUAACUACUGCGAAAGCAUUUGCCAAGGAUGUUUUCAUUAAUCAAGAACGAAAGUUAGGGGAUCGAAGACGAUCAGAUACCGUCGUAGUC